This 66-nucleotide transfer RNA is filed under the name Synapturanus rabus (Vaupes disc frog). RNAcentral's name for it is "tRNA-Cys". Lineage: Eukaryota; Metazoa; Chordata; Amphibia; Anura; Microhylidae. The record is from RNAcentral.
AGUCUUAGGGUGUGGCAGCACGGGCGAUUGCAAGUCGCUAGGGGCGGGUAAAGACCGCUGAGGCUU